AUUGAACGCUGGCGGCAGGCCUAACACAUGCAAGUCGAGCGGAGGAAGGGAGCUUGCGCCUGGAUUCAACGGCGGACGGAUGAGUAAUUCCUAGGAAUCUGCCUGGUAGUGGGGGGUAACGUCCGGAAACGGGCGCUAAUACCGCAUACGUCCUGAAGGAGAAAGAGGGGGAUCUUCUGACCACACGCUAUCAGAUGAGCCUAAGUUGGAUUAGGUAGUUGGUUGGGUAAAUGCCCACCAAGGCGACCAUACAUAACCGGCCUGAGAGGGUGAGCAGCCACAAUGGGACUGAGACACGGCCCAAACUUCUACGGGAGGGAGCAGUAGGGAAUCUUCGGCAAUGGACGAAAGUCUGACCGAGCAACGCCGCGUGAGUGAAGAAGGGUUUCGGAUCGUAAAACUCUGUUGGUAGAGGAGAAAGGUGGUGAGGGUGGAAAGCUCAUCAAGUGACGGUAACUACACAGAAAGGGACGGCUAACUACGUG
Molecule: ribosomal RNA, 485 nt
Filed under: uncultured bacterium
Lineage: Bacteria
Description: partial 16S ribosomal RNA
Rfam family: Bacterial small subunit ribosomal RNA
Source: RNAcentral